Molecule: ribosomal RNA, 857 nt
Filed under: uncultured archaeon
Lineage: Archaea
Description: bacterial SSU rRNA
Rfam family: Archaeal small subunit ribosomal RNA
Source: RNAcentral
AUGUAGCAUACAUGGCGUACUGCUCAGUAACACGUGGAUAACCUGCCCUUGGGUCCGGCAUAACCCCGGGAAACUGGGGAUAAUUCCGGAUAACGCACAUAUGCUGGAAUGCUUUCUGCGUAAAAUGGAUUCGUCUGCCUAAGGAUGGGUCUGCGGCCUAUCAGGUAGUAGUGGGUGUAAUGUACCUACUAGCCAACGACGGGUACGGGUUGUGAGAGCAAGAGCCCGGAGAUGGAUUCUGAGACAUGAAUCCAGGCCCUACGGGGCGCAGCAGGCGCGAAAACUUUACAAUGCGGGAAACCGUGAUAAGGGGACACCGAGUGCCAGCAUCAUAUGCUGGCUGUCCGGGUGUGUAAAAUACACCUGUUAGCAAGGGCCGGGCAAGACCGGUGCCAGCCGCCGCGGUAACACCGGCGGCCCGAGUGGUGAUCGUGAUUAUUGGGUCUAAAGGGUCCGUAGCCUGUUUGGUCAGUCCUCCGGGAAAUCUGACAGCUUAACUGUUAGGCUAUCGGAGGAUACUGCCAGACUUGGAACCGGGAGAGGUAAGAGGUACUACAGGGGUAGGAGUGAAAUCUUGUAAUCCCUGUGAGACCACCUGUGGCGAAGGCGUCUUACCAGAACGGGUUCGACGGUGAGGGACGAAAGCUGGGGGCACGAACCGGAUUAGAUACCCGGGUAGUCCCAGCCGUAAACGAUGCUCGCUAGGUGUCAGGCAUGGCGCGACCGUGUCUGGUGCCGCAGGGAAGCCGUGAAGCGAGCCACCUGGGAAGUACGGCCGCAAGGCUGAAACUUAAAGGAAUUGGCGGGGGAGCACAACAACGGGUGGAGCCUGCGGUUUAAUUGGAUUCAACGCCGGG